RNAcentral lists this ribosomal RNA (644 nucleotides) under uncultured rumen bacterium. Its description in RNAcentral is "bacterial SSU rRNA". It matches the Rfam family "Bacterial small subunit ribosomal RNA", at positions 66 to 719 of the family's 1533-position model. The record is from RNAcentral.
UUUAAGAAGGAAGCUUGCUUUCAUUUUAAACUUAGUGGCGGACGGGUGAGUAACGCGUGAGGAACCUGCCCUUCAGUGGGGAACAACAACUAGAAAUGGUUGCUAAUACCGCAUAAUGUCGGAGUACCGCAUGACAUUCCGACCAAAGGAUUUAUUCGCUGAAGGAUGGCCUCGCGUCCGAUUAGAUAGUUGGUGAGGUAACGGCCCACCAAGUCUACGAUCGGUAGCCGAACUGAGAGGUUGAUCGGCCACAUUGGGACUGAGACACGGCCCAGACUCCUACGGGAGGCAGCAGUGGGGAAUAUUGGGCAAUGGGCGAAAGCCUGACCCAGCAACGCCGCGUGAAGGAUGACGGUCUUCGGAUUGUAAACUUCUUUAAUUGGGGAAGAACAAAAUGACCUACCCAAAGAAUAAGUCACGGCUAACUACGUGCCAGCAGCCGCGGUAAUACGUAGGUGACAAGCGUUAUCCGGAUUUACUGGGCGUAAAGGGCGUGUAGGCGGUCUUGCAAGUCAGAAGUGAAAUUCCUGAGCUCAACUCGGGCGCUGCUUCUGAAACUGCAGGACUUGAGUGCUGGAGGGGAUAGCGGAAUUCCUAGUGGAGCGGUAAAAUGCGCAGAUAUUAGGAAGAACACCGGUGGCGAA